Molecule: long non-coding RNA, 1877 nt
Organism: Cyprinus carpio carpio
Lineage: Eukaryota; Metazoa; Chordata; Actinopteri; Cypriniformes; Cyprinidae
Source: Ensembl
CAGUUGGUUGCGGUUUAUAAAGUGCUCUGAGUACAUUACAGCAGAUGCUGAUGACACUACUAAUCUAUCUUUGCCAUUUCAGACCAGCAAAUAGCGUUGAUUUUUAUUAGUUUUUUUUUUUUUUUUUUUUUAUCUCGCCAGCUUUUUUUAUUUUAAUUAUAUACAAAAUAAGUUAUUUUCAUACCUAAGCUCGAUGUCAAAAUAUUACAUAUCAGUGAAGUCUGUGAACCGAAUGGAGUUCAUACAGCUUAUAUUUUAUGUAGAUAGCGAGUGACCUAAACAUAUGGCACAUAUGGUGCAAUUAUUCCCUCACUGCGCGUCUUGUUGAAAUUCAGUGGCAGAGCGAAACACGACGAGAGCUGCUACAACUGAGAAAGUCAGAUUAGUUUAUCAAACGUGUGCAUAUGUAGGACUAUUUCAUGACUGAGUCAAAAAAAAAAAAACGUAUGUUUAAUUUAGCAGUACUCUGAGGGGUCAGGGAAACUGAUGCAGAAUAAUUGGACGCAGAGGGAAUCCAUACCAAUUUGUGAUUUCAGAAUCUACUUGAGAAAUUAGAUCAUUCUAAAAUCCCGGUUAUAUUUAAAUGUUUGUGUUUAUUCCACAUGGACGCAUGCUGAAGCAGAAAUGCUAAACAAGAUCAUUUUGGACUUCAUUCCUUGGCGGAAGCUUUAAGAAGAAAGUUACACAUGGGAUGAUGGCAUGAUGUGACUUGUGACUGCCCACCCAUCUUAAUUGAACCUUUCAGUUUGCUAUUAAAGCAUCGUUGUUCAAACACCUGCUGUGAUCAAAACAUCACUCUGACUUUAACUAACUACUCUGUGACAGACACCUAAUGUCUUUUCAUUGAAAAUUACAGAGAACCUGACACACCACGCUUGAGUGCAGAAGCCUGGCUAAAACCUGCACAGGUGUUGAACCACAGCAGGAAAAGGAGCAGAGAAAGAUCCACUUUCUGAAUAAAUCAAGCAGAAGCAAUAUCCUGCAUGUGUAGAGAGAUGGACGGGAGCCCAUGUAAUAUUAAAAGCGCCGUGUCUGGCAACGCAAGCGGUGCCACUCCUUUCAUUGCUCCUGCUCCCUCCACUACCCGGCCACUGGCUCUUCUCUCAAGGUGACACUUCAAAGCACCAACGCAGACGUGGAAGGCCUGGCUGCCAGCAUGGAGCCAACCCAACCCUCCUCCACCCCCUUCCUCAAACAGGCGCUUGCUACCCCCGCUGGGCCAGGUCAACGCCAAGAAUCCACACCGCUUGCCACUCGGGAACCCUUGUCAAAAUCUGCUUCGUAUCCUUAAUUAAUAACACUCCUUUCCUAUUGCAAACACGAGGGGGGAGAGAGUGCCCGUCUGGAGUCCACUGGCACUGUUUGUUACUUGAGUCUCAAUUCUGAAAAAGAGUUGUGCUGAAAAUGAAGGCGGUGUUAUCUGUUACACCAAUAUCUGUUGGAAUUUAGGAUGCCCCUCAUUGCGACUCAUCCAGAGAAAUGUGCACCCUAAGGAAUAAUUUGUGAAGGUUCAAGUGGGUACAUGAAAAAUGCAGCAUACGGAGGUAGGAAGACAUCAAGACAUGUCCGAAUCCAGUGUUCUUGUAUAACAUGCCUUCAGCUGCAACAGUAUCAUUUGCUGUAUAAUAUAUCCGGGAAUUCUGUGCGUACGAUUUGGUGGUUCGUGGAAGGAAUGAAAAUAUAGACUCCAAAGUUUUAAGCAUAGGUUAUGUUUUUGGUCUGCUGAAAAGUUUUUAAAAAACAUAUGCUAAAAUGGCCGUGUAUUUCACGUGUGUGAUCUUUCAUACUUGUUAAGCUUUUAUGAUAAUCAAAUUCCAUCAUGCAUAAAUAUAUAUUUCACCCCAAAAAAUGUAACAUUCUGUCAUCAUUUAAGGCCC